UAAGCUUAGGGUUCUAGAAAUUUCUCACCUGGUGCAAGGUGGUGAAAAUUUGAAGGAAGUGCGACUCACCGUCGAUCUGUCAAAGUCUGAGGUAGGAAAAGAAAAAGUUUCGCACGCUGGUGGUCACCCACGUAGUCCAACAAUGCUUGGGAUAUAGAUAGACGAGGGGCUGUUCGAAGGAGCCCAAGAUGGUGAUGCCUCAAGGAGCAGUUCACAACCUUUUCCUCGUUCAGGGUUUGUUGGUCUGUAGGAAGUCACGGUUGCCUCGACGGAGGGCAUCUUAGACCCAAGUAGGCACUCGAUCGUCGUGUUGAAAGCGAACGUCUGACCUGGGGUUUUGGUAAGCACAAAUAGCCCAGUAAAAAUGGGGUUUAGCGUAGAAGUAGAGGGUUUAGCGCGGUUGUGGGGGAAGAAAUAGUGGAAG
This 424-nucleotide long non-coding RNA is filed under the name Gossypium barbadense (sea-island cotton). Its description in RNAcentral is "long non-coding RNA (GBAR_LNC013477)". Lineage: Eukaryota; Viridiplantae; Streptophyta; Magnoliopsida; Malvales; Malvaceae. The record is from RNAcentral.